GAGCCCUCCUUUUGUCAACAGACAUCUCAGGGAUAUGUGAAGAGACAGGCUAUUUUUGCCUGCAACACACCUGCUGGGCUAUGCCUUGCCUGCACCAACCAUUGCCAUGAUGGGCAUCUUUGAGCUCUACACAAAAAAGGGCAAAGACCAACAAAACAUUAAAAACCAAUACAAUCACAACUUCCAUGGCUGUUUCUGUACCUGUGACAGACCUUACCCAGACACUGAUGAUCAGAUGUGGGUUUCAUUCCAGCCGUUAUGCACCAUUCACUUUCUCCAUCACAAUUGAUAAAUGAAUGUUUUAUUUCUGUCUGAAUCAUACGCUUUGUUGAUAUGCUAGAUCUCUAGGAUUCAGUUAGUGUGUUGUUGAAAGAAUGAUGGCUAUGUCAUUCUAAAUCACAAAACACUGUGUCAUGGUCUUUAUAUUUCCCAUAAGGUUAAUGAGGAUAUGAUUCAGUGUAUCAUCACUGAGGACUGGUAUCAUCCCAGGGUAUGUAUCGGGCUAACAUCAUGAUUGUUGUCAGUUCUCUUUCAAGAUCUAAACUAUGUUAGCCGAGAUAAUGGUUUUGGUACAAAGACAGGAAUGAUUACUCCUCCUUGACCAUGUGGGCCUCUCUGUAACAGCACUUAGGUUGUAUGGUGGAAAAGACUGAGGAGAUGGAGUGUGAGACCUGUAUGAGCAAAGCCCCCUUCCUUUGGACCUACUUCGCCCACUUAGCAGGUGUGUUAUUAUUCCUCCCACUGACAGAGAGUGCUAGGGAUCCAGAGCUCUGGGCUUGGGUUACAAAAAACACCAACCAUAAAUGAGUACUGCUUUUUAAAUCUCUUGCCCCUAGCUAACUAAAGAUUGGAGAUAACGGUACUGUUCAUUCAUUCAUUCAGUUGAGAGAAUGCCAAAAGUGUGCAAAGCUAUCAUCAAGGCUACUUUGUUUAACACUUUUUUUGGUUGCUACAUGAUU
Salmo salar (Atlantic salmon) is the source of this 959-nucleotide non-coding RNA. NCBI's taxonomy places the organism in Eukaryota, Metazoa, Chordata, Actinopteri, Salmoniformes, Salmonidae. The record is from RefSeq and is a predicted model, not a curated record.